UAAAAUGCGAUGACGGAGCAAAGUACAUCAUCGGAAACCAACAGGGAGAUCAGGGCAAUGAUUGAGACCCCGAUCCGGUGAAAAGUGAUGGAAGUUCUCUCCCGAGCAGUUUGGGUGAACGGAAACAAGUAGUCCAAACCGCCGGCGCUGCGAUACCAGCGCAGCCAAUCGAUGGAUCAUGGUUGGUGAAAGAGUGGGCUGAAUUUCAGCCAAUCAGGGUGGUACCGCGGAUUACCCCGUCCCUUUG
RNAcentral lists this non-coding RNA (247 nucleotides) under Anaerolinea thermophila. RNAcentral describes it as "T-box sequence". It matches the Rfam family "T-box leader". Rfam says of the family: Uncharged tRNA acts as the effector for transcription antitermination of genes in the T-box leader family. T-boxes are found upstream of many aminoacyl-tRNA synthetase genes and some amino acid biosynthetic genes usually in Gram-positive bacteria. The record is from RNAcentral. Lineage: Bacteria; Bacillati; Chloroflexota; Anaerolineae; Anaerolineales; Anaerolineaceae.